Molecule: ribosomal RNA, 217 nt
Filed under: uncultured bacterium
Lineage: Bacteria
Description: partial 16S ribosomal RNA
Rfam family: Bacterial small subunit ribosomal RNA
Source: RNAcentral
AACGUAGGUGGCGAGCGUUAUCCGGAUUUACUGGGCGUAAAGCGUGUGCAGGCGGGGUGACAAGUGGUGUAUGAAAUCUCCGGGCUAAACCUGGAGGGGUUAUGCCAGACUGUCAUUCUAGAGUGCGAGAGAGGGGCGUGGAAUUCCGGGUGUAGUGGUGAAAUGCGUAGAGAUGUGGAGGAAUACCGAUGGCGAAGGCAGCCCCCUGGGCCAAUAC